CCUACGGGUGGCUGCAGUAGGGAAUCUUCCACAAUGGGCGAAAGCCUGAUGCAGCAACGCCGCGUGGGUGAAGAAGGUCUUCGGAUCGUAAAACCCUGUUGUUAGAGAAGAAAGUGCGUGAGAGUAACUGUUCACGUUUCGACGGUAUCUAACCAGAAAGCCACGGAUAACUACGUGCGCGCAGCCGCGGUAAUACGUCGGUGGCAAGCGUUAUCCGGAUUUGAUGGGCGUAAAGGGAGCGCAGGGGGUCUGUUAAGUCUGGUGUGAAAGCCUUCGGCUUAACCGGAGUAGUGCAUUGGAAACUGGGAGGCUGGAGUGCAGAAGAGGAGAGUGGAACUCCAUGUGUAGCGGUGAAAUGCGUAGAUAUAUGGAAGAACACCAGUGGCGAAGGCGGCUUUCUGGUCGGUAACUGACGCUGAGGUUCGAAAGCGUGGGUAGCAAACAGGAUUAGAUACCCGAGUAGUC
Molecule: ribosomal RNA, 465 nt
Filed under: uncultured bacterium
Lineage: Bacteria
Description: partial 16S ribosomal RNA
Rfam family: Bacterial small subunit ribosomal RNA
Source: RNAcentral